GGGGGGGGGGGGGGGGGGGGGGGGGGGGGGGGGGGGGGGGGGGGGGGGGGGGGGGGGGGGGGGGGGGGGGGGGGGGGGGGGGGGGGGGGGGGGGGGGGGGGGGGGGGGGGGGGGGAAAAAGGGAUGCGCAAUGCAAUUGCUCACCAGAUGCACAAUGCCAUUGCUCACCACCUGCUGACCAAUGCCCAUACAGCUCCCAGGUUUAUACACUGAGCAUGAUGUCAUAAUGUAUGGAAUAACCCUUUGAGCAGUUGGGGCCAGCUGAGCCAGCUGUGUCCCCUCCCAUCUCCUUGUGCCCCCCAGCCUUGUCAAAGUGGUGUGGUGUGAGAAGCUGAAAAGUCCUUGACUUAAAGUAAGCACUGCUCAACAAAACAUCAGUGUAUCAUCAACACUGUUCUCACCCUAAAUCCAAAACACAGCAUGAUACCAGCUACUAGGAAGAAAAUCACCUCUAUCCCAGCUAAAACCAGGACAGCAGGGUACCAGGGCAUCCAGGGAGCUGCACCCUGAACCCAUCCAAGAUGCUUUCCAGCACUGACACACUGCAGGAGUGUGUGCCCUGUGCUCCCCAGAUCACAGCAGACUAUUUUCCAACAGACUUAAAGGCAGGACAAAAGCAAGAAGUCAGCCAAGGAUUCCAGUUUCCUGAAGAACUCCUGAAUUUUGGAGCUCUAAAGUCCUGUGCCCAGCAUAAGAUGAUGUGCAGGUCCAAGGGUGCCCUGUGGAAACCUGUUUAA
Molecule: long non-coding RNA, 737 nt
Filed under: Ficedula albicollis (Collared flycatcher)
Lineage: Eukaryota; Metazoa; Chordata; Aves; Passeriformes; Muscicapidae
Description: lncRNA (ENSFALG00000023490.1)
Source: RNAcentral